This 266-nucleotide long non-coding RNA is filed under the name Gallus gallus (chicken). Its description in RNAcentral is "long non-coding RNA NONGGAT006658". The record is from RNAcentral. Lineage: Eukaryota; Metazoa; Chordata; Aves; Galliformes; Phasianidae.
CCUGAAGAAUGAAGAGGUCCAUGUGUGCACCUGGAGAGCCCCCCAUAGGCAAGGCUCUCUGCAUCUUGGUGGUUGCUGCAGGACUGUUCCUCCUUGCAGAAACACGUUCUCUGCAGGGAGAAAUACUGGACUUACUGGGAAGGAAUGAUAAGUACGUGUCUCUGGUCAACCACAGCAUCCCUCAGCUAUGUCAGUUCACGGUGUGCAUCGAUCUGAACCGAACGGCCAACAUUAGCUCUUGGGCAGCGUUUUCCUAUGACACCAAC